RNAcentral lists this transfer RNA (105 nucleotides) under Kalmanozyma brasiliensis GHG001. It matches the Rfam family "tRNA". From Rfam's summary of the family: Transfer RNA (tRNA) molecules are approximately 80 nucleotides in length. Their secondary structure includes four short double-helical elements and three loops (D, anti-codon, and T loops). Further hydrogen bonds mediate the characteristic L-shaped molecular structure. tRNAs have two regions of fundamental functional importance: the anti-codon, which is responsible for specific mRNA codon recognition, and the 3' end, to which the tRNAs corresponding amino acid is attached (by aminoacyl-tRNA synthetases). tRNAs cope with the degeneracy of the genetic code in two manners: having more than one tRNA (with a specific anti-codon) for a particular amino acid; and 'wobble' base-pairing, i.e. permitting non-standard base-pairing at the 3rd anti-codon position. Lineage: Eukaryota; Fungi; Basidiomycota; Ustilaginomycetes; Ustilaginales. The record is from Rfam by way of RNAcentral.
GGGUCUUUAGCUCAGCAGUAGAGCGGCAGACUUCGGUAGAAAUUCUGAAGAAAAUCGUCACGAUUUGCAUUCUGCAGGUCGCGGGUUCAAUCCCCGUAGGACUCU